This 951-nucleotide ribosomal RNA is filed under the name Triticum aestivum (bread wheat). Its description in RNAcentral is "partial small subunit ribosomal RNA". Lineage: Eukaryota; Viridiplantae; Streptophyta; Magnoliopsida; Poales; Poaceae. The record is from RNAcentral.
AUGGGGCCCGCAUGUCAUUUGCUUGGGCUGGGCGCGUCCCGUGCGGCCCGUCGGCGUGCUCGGCUGGUAAAAGAUCCCAUGCCACCGCCGAAAUUUCCCUGCCCCGCCGAGGGUAUUUUGGGGUUUUCCGGUGGUGGCACUGUGCGUGUUGUGCGCUGGUUGAUGAGGGAGUCCAUGAGGUGGGGGCGGGCGGCUGGCUUGCCCCUUCGAGCACCCCAUUCGUCCCCUCCUCCCUUGUCUUCUCCACUCGACGCCGGCUCGCCUCCCCUUCGAUUUGCCGUCGUUCUCAGGUGGAUCCACCCCAAUAGCUCAGGCAGCGGUCUGAUCCGGCGAUCCCUUCCUCCAACUCGCGCCGGACGUCACCCGGAGUGGAGAGGAGAGGCAGAUCCCGCUGCCACCGGCGAUCUCCCUCCCUCCCUCCUCAGAUGGACGGACGGGGCAACACCGCCUGAAACCCUAGCCCCGCCCCUCACCCACCCAUGGAUGGACGGAUGGGGACGGGGUGACGACGGCGGCAGCUUCUUUACUGCCGUGGCGGCAGCGGCGGCCCUCGACACCGAUGAACGCUGGUUCUUCCUCCUCAUCCACGACGCCCAUCUCCGGCCAUGGCGACCUCGGAUCUCCGGCCCUGGUUGGUUCCCUCCUGUCCUCCCUCCCCUUGUCUUCUCUGUUUCUUCAUCUCCCCUCCCUCUCGUUCAUCCUGUCUUUGAUUUGUUUUGUUUUGUGUGCAGGUUGCUCAGAUGUUGCUGCUGCUGCUGCUGCAGGUGGACGUGCUAUAAAGGUCAGGGAAGAAUAGUGCAACAUGGAUUCAUAAACCCAUGGUGGGUGGAUGGUGAGCUGUUGGUACUCAAUGGCAAGUGUUACAUAUAUGUGAUGAUUUCUGACUUGACUUAUGCUAUCUCCUUGGUCCUCUGCAUGUUCUGGUUGUUGACAAGCAGGCAAUUUGGAUGA